CCUCCGAUAGCUCAGUUGGAAGAGCGCAAGACUGUAAUGGGUUAUCCGCACUUCAUCUUGAGGCCGCUAGUUCGAUCCUGGCUCGGAGGA
Cubamyces sp. BRFM 1775 is the source of this 90-nucleotide non-coding RNA. The record is from the annotation of a GenBank genome assembly. NCBI's taxonomy places the organism in Eukaryota, Fungi, Basidiomycota, Agaricomycetes, Polyporales, Polyporaceae.